Cercocebus atys (sooty mangabey) is the source of this 276-nucleotide long non-coding RNA. RefSeq lists it as uncharacterized. The transcript is spliced from 3 exons. The record is from RefSeq and is a predicted model, not a curated record. Lineage: Eukaryota; Metazoa; Chordata; Mammalia; Primates; Cercopithecidae.
UGCAGUGAGCCAAGAUCACACCAUUGCACUCCAGCCUGGGCAUCAGAGUGAGACUCGAUCUCAAAAAAAGAAAAAACUAGUGUCUUCCUGUGGCUGACCAUGGUGGCCAUCACCUGUAGUCUCAACUACUCUGCAGGCUGAGGUAGGAGGAAUCACUUGAGCCCAACAGGUCGAGGCUGUGGUACACUAUGAUCAUUCCUGUGAACAGCUACUGAACUCUAGCCUGGGCAACAUAGUGAGGACCCAUCUCUUUAAAAACAAACAAACAAAAAAAGG